UAGGGAAUCUUCCGCAAUGGGCGAAAGCCUGACGGAGCAACGCCGCGUGAGUGAUGAAGGUCUUCGGAUCGUAAAACUCUGUUAUUAGGGAAGAACAUAUGUGUAAGUAACUGUGCACAUCUUGACGGUACCUAAUCAGAAAGCCACGGCUAACUACGUGCCAGCAGCCGCGGUAAUACGUAGGUGGCAAGCGUUAUCCGGAAUUAUUGGGCGUAAAGCGCGCGUAGGCGGUUUUUUAAGUCUGAUGUGAAAGCCCACGGCUCAACCGUGGAGGGUCAUUGGAAACUGGAAAACUUGAGUGCAGAAGAGGAAAGUGGAAUUCCAUGUGUAGCGGUGAAAUGCGUAGAUAUAUGGAGGAACACCGGUGGCGAAAGCGGCUCUCUGGCUUGUAACUGACGCUGAGGCUCGAAAGCGUGGGGAGCAAACAGGAUUAGAUACCCUGGUAGUCCACGCCGUAACGAUGAGUGCUAGGUGUUAGACCCUUUCCGGGGUUUAGUGUCGCAGCUAACGCAUUAAGCACUCCGCCUGGGGAGUACGACCGCAAGGNU
Molecule: ribosomal RNA, 548 nt
Filed under: uncultured bacterium
Lineage: Bacteria
Description: bacterial SSU rRNA
Rfam family: Bacterial small subunit ribosomal RNA
Source: RNAcentral